UACGUAGGGUGCGAGCGUUAAUCGGAAUUACUGGGCGUAAAGCGUGCGCAGGCGGUUUUUUAAGCCAGAUGUGAAAUCCCCGGGCUUAACCUGGGAAUGGCAUUGAGGACUGGCAGGCUAGAGUGUGGCAGAGGGGGGUGGAAUUCCACGUGUAGCAGUGAAAUGCGUAGAGAGGGGGAGGAACACCGAUGGCGAAGGCAGCCCCCUGGCUAACACUGACGCUCAGGCACGAAAGCGUGGGGAGCAAACAGG
Molecule: ribosomal RNA, 252 nt
Filed under: uncultured bacterium
Lineage: Bacteria
Description: partial 16S ribosomal RNA
Rfam family: Bacterial small subunit ribosomal RNA
Source: RNAcentral